This 771-nucleotide ribosomal RNA is filed under the name uncultured euryarchaeote. RNAcentral's name for it is "bacterial SSU rRNA". It matches the Rfam family "Archaeal small subunit ribosomal RNA", at positions 148 to 922 of the family's 1478-position model. The record is from RNAcentral. Lineage: Archaea; Methanobacteriati; Methanobacteriota.
AUGCCCCCAUAGUUCACCACACUGGAACGGUGGGUGGAUGAAAGCUCCGGCGGCAUAGGAUGGGCCUGCGGCGUAUCAGGUUGUAGGGGGUGUAAUGUACCCUCUAGCCAUCUACGCGUACGGGUGUUGAGAGACAUCGCCCGGAGAUGGAUUCUGAGACACGAAUCCAGACCCUACGGGGUGCAGCAGGCGCGAAAACUUGGCAAUGCGAGCAAUCGUGACCAGGGAACUCCAAGUGCAUCGGGUAAGACCGAUGCUUUUCUUGACUCUUCAAAGGUCUUGGAAUAAGGGGUGGGUAAGGACGGUGCCAGCCGCCGCGGUAAUACCGGCGCCUCAAGUGGUAGUCGCUUUUAUUGGGCCUAAAACGUCCGUAGCCGGUUUGGUACAUUCGUGGGUAAAUCAAGACGCUCAACGUCUUGAAUUCUGCGAGCACGGCCAGACUUGGGACCGGGUGAGGUGUGGGGUACUCUCAGGGUAGGGGUAAAAUCCUGUCAUCCUGAGAGGACCACCUGUUGCGAAGGCGCCACACUAGAACGGAUCCGACGGUCAGGGACGAAGCCUAGGGGCACGAACCGGAUUAGAUACCCGGGUAGUCCUAGGUGUAAACGCUGUGGACUUGAUGUUGGGAGUGCUCCGAGCACCCUCAGUGUCGAAGCGAAGGUGAUAAGUCCACUGCCUGGGGAGUACGGUCGCAAGGCUGAAACUUAAAGGAAUUGGCGGGGGAGCACUGCAACCUGAGGAUUGUGCGGUUUAAUUGGAUUCAACGCCGGG